ACCGCGUGUGUGAAGAAGGCCUGACGGUUGUAAAGCACUUUCAAUAGGAAGGAAUACCUAUGGUUAAUACCCGGUAGACUGACAUUACCUAUACAAGAAGCACCGGCUAACUCCGUGCCAGCAGCCGCGGUAAUACGGAGGGUGCAAGCGUUAAUCGGAAUUACUGGGCGUAAAGCGUGCGUAGCGGUUAUUUAAGUCAGAUGUGAAAGCCCUGGGCUUACCUGGGAACUGCAUUUGAUACUGGAUGACUAGAGUAGAGUAGAGGAGAGUGGAAUUUCAGGUGUGGCGGUGAAAUGCGUAGAGAUCUGAAGGAACACCAGUGGCGAAGGCGGCUCUCUGGACUCAAACUGACGCUGAGGUACGAAAGCGUGGGUAGCAAACAGGAUUAGAUACCCUGGUAGUCCACGCCGUAAACGAUGUCAACUAACCGUUGGGUUCUUUAAGAACUUAGUGGUGGAGCUAACGUAUUAAGUUGGCCGCCUGAGGAGUACGGCCGCAAGGCUAAAACUCAAAUGAAUUGACGGGGGCCCGCACAAGCGGUGGAGCAUGUGGUUUAAUUCGAUGCGACGCGAAGAACCUUACCUACCCUUGACAUGUAGCGAAUCCUUUAGAGAUAGAGGAGAUGCUUCGGGAACGCUAACACAGGUUGCUGCAUGGCUGUCGUCAGCUCGUG
RNAcentral lists this ribosomal RNA (673 nucleotides) under uncultured archaeon. RNAcentral describes it as "bacterial SSU rRNA". It matches the Rfam family "Bacterial small subunit ribosomal RNA", at positions 396 to 1064 of the family's 1533-position model. The record is from RNAcentral.